GUUUGAUCCUGGCUCAGCCUGAACGCUGGCGGCGUGGCUAAGACAUGCAAGUCGUACGGAUGUAGCAAUACAUCAGUGGCGAACGGGUGAGUAAUGUAUCGCUAAUGUACCCCGGAUUCUGGGAUAGCUGCCCGAAAGGGCAGGUAAUACCAGAUGAUAUACCCUUGUCGCAUGGCGAGGGUCUCAAAGGAGCAAUCCGCUCUGGGAGCAGGCGAUAUCGUAUCAGCUAGUUGGUGAGGUAACGGCUCACCAAGGCGACGACGUGUAGCCGGACUGAGAGGUUGGCCGGCCACAUUGGGACUGAGACACUGCCCAGACUCCUACGGGGGGCUGUAGUAACGAAUCUUCCGCAAUGCACGAAAGUGUGACGGAGCGACGCCGCGUGUGGGACGAAGCCCCUCGGGGUGUAAACCACUGUCAGGGGAUAGAAAGUUCUGAUCAUCCCCAGAGGAAGGCACGGCUAACUCUGUGCCAGCAGCCGCGGUAAGACAGAGGUGCCAAGCGUUAGGCGGAAUCACUGGGCUUAAAGCGUGUGUAGGCGGAUCGUUAAGUGCUUUGUGAAAUCCCAUGGCUUAACCAUGGAACUGCUUGGCAUACUGGCGAUCUUGAGCGACCUAGGGGCGAGCGGAACAAAUGGUGGAGCGGUGAAACGCGUAGAUAUCAUUUGGAACGCCAAAGGUGAAAACAGCUCGCUGGGGGUCUGCUGACGCUGAGACACGAAAGCCAGGGGAGCGAACGGGAUUAGAUACCCCGGUAGUCCUGGCCGUAAACGAUGUCGACUAGAUCGUGGUACCUCUGACGGUUUCACGGUCGAAGCAAAAGUGCUAAGUCGACCGCCUGGGAAGUACGGUCGCAAGGCUAAAACUCAAAGGAAUUGAC
RNAcentral lists this ribosomal RNA (879 nucleotides) under uncultured bacterium. Its description in RNAcentral is "bacterial SSU rRNA". It matches the Rfam family "Bacterial small subunit ribosomal RNA", at positions 11 to 914 of the family's 1533-position model. The record is from RNAcentral.